This is a long non-coding RNA of Gallus gallus (chicken), 619 nucleotides long. NCBI's taxonomy places the organism in Eukaryota, Metazoa, Chordata, Aves, Galliformes, Phasianidae. The record is from Ensembl.
UCCAGCUCCAAAACUGGGAGCUACUGUCCUAAUGAGGAACCAACUUGUUCUGAGGAGCAUCUGAAUAAAGAGGGAACAGUUUUCUGUCUCAGUAAUGGGGAAGCUGCCGAGCUCUGGCUGUUCAGUUUCACAUAGCACUAUCCUUUAUGGAGGAGCAGACUGAACUCGACAUCCAGUGCAGCUGGGCUGACCCAGACAGGCAUCAUGCCAAAGCCACAGAUGUGCAAGAUGAAGGGUGAAGACCAGGACAUGGAGAAGGUUGUGCUUGAAUGUAUCAACAAGUACUUGACGUCCCCAUGGUCCUGUUUAUUGCAUUAAAAUCCCACCUGUGCACUUGAGAUUUUUCAACCAGGCCCAACUGUGAAUAAAGCCAAAGGCUGAGGAAAGUUCUGUGGGCUUUCGCACCUUCCUAAAGCAACAUUGUAAUUGUACCUUGAGAUAAACCAAUGCUUGAUCUUCUAUGUGAGACAGUCACAAGGUAUUUGAAGCUGAUGGAUGGCGGAAGGUGUACGUGUUGCCUGCUCAAUAAACUGAGGAGGCUAAAGGGAACCUAGGAGAUGAAUAUACUUAGAAGGAAGACCAAAAUGGUAAAGCUUUGAUGGCGUGGAUAUGAUCUCUU